UAGCUAUUGAGAUAUUGGCUUGGUUCACUCAGAAGAAACAAAAAAUAACACUACUUGUGAAUGUUUUGAUUUUGAUUUUGAUUUUGAUUGAGCCGUGCCAAUAUUUCAAAUGCUAUU
This is a microRNA precursor of Medicago truncatula (barrel medic), 117 nucleotides long. The record is from Rfam. NCBI's taxonomy places the organism in Eukaryota, Viridiplantae, Streptophyta, Magnoliopsida, Fabales, Fabaceae.